Molecule: ribosomal RNA, 774 nt
Filed under: uncultured Neocallimastigales
Lineage: Eukaryota; Fungi; Neocallimastigomycota; Neocallimastigomycetes; Neocallimastigales
Description: partial large subunit ribosomal RNA
Rfam family: Eukaryotic large subunit ribosomal RNA
Source: RNAcentral
UAUCUCUGUAGAGUCUGCAUAUCAAUAAGCGGAGGAAAAGAAACUAACUAGGAUUCCCUCAGUAACGGCGAGUGAAGCGGGAAGAGCUCAAAUUUGAAAUCUUCAAGGUUCUACCUUGACGAAUUGUAGUUUAAAGAAGUGUUCUCUGUUAGAUGAGUAGCAAAAGUUCCUUGGAAUGGGACAUCAUAGAGGGUGAGAAUCCCGUAUUUGGUUAUUCAUUCUAGCUAUGUGAUACACUUUCAAAGAGUCGGAUUGUUUGGGAAUGCAGUCCAAAAUGGGUGGUAAAUUUCAUCUAAAGCUAAAUAUUGGCGAGAGACCGAUAGCGAACAAGUACCGUGAGGGAAAGAUGAAAAGAACUUUGAAAAGAGAGUUAAACAGUACGUGAAAUUGUCAAAAGGGAAGCGUUUGACACCAGUGUUGUUUUUCCGAAAAUCAAUUAUAAAUGUUUUGUUUCUGAGGAGUGAUGACUUCAUCGGCUUCCUUCUCUCUUCACGAAACUUUUGUAAUGCACUUUUCGGUUAACAAGUCAACAUCAAUUUCUUUUGUUGUAAAAGAGUAUUCGGAAGGUGGCUUUCUUUUCGGAGAAAGUGUUUAUAGCCCUAUACUUCUACAAUCGGAGAGAUUGAGGUCUGCAGCGUAGAUCCUUCGGGGUUAGAUACGUUUGUGCUAAGUUAUAGCUUUUCAUAGACAACUUGUUGACUAUGUUUAGUCUUGUAGCUUACUCGCUUAUGCUAUUUUACCUACGCUUAGGAUGUUGAAGAUGUAGCACAUCAU